Molecule: long non-coding RNA, 616 nt
Filed under: Homo sapiens (human)
Lineage: Eukaryota; Metazoa; Chordata; Mammalia; Primates; Hominidae
Description: HSALNT0307016
Source: RNAcentral
AAAUGUUCAAGCUUCUUCAGCUUCCAUAGCGCUGUGCUAGCAGGAAGGUCUGUGAAGUUUGCAAUAAAGCCAUUAUGAAGUCAAGAAUGGAGGUUCCAUUUUUAAAGAACUCAGAGGGGGUAGAUCUUGAUUGACAUCUCAUCUGGGGUCACCUGGUCUUCAACUGAGAGAUCUUUUGGUUCGCCACGGAUGCCCCUUGCAGUUAUGGAAGCUUCCCUGACCAGAGGUCGUUUUGAGUUUCCUUCUCUGGAAUUUGACCACUGAGCAGAGACACAUAGGAGAGAAGACGUGAAUGCUGAGUCAUCAAUCAGCAUCACUGGGAAGAAAAAGCCUCUCAGUUUCUUCUGCUGGGACUCCCAGAGCUGGAGUAUUUUCUGCUCUUCCUAAGGCCUGAAUCUCACCUUGUCACCCAGGCUGGAGUGCAAUGGCAUAAUCUCAGCUCACUGCAACCUCUGUCUCCCAGGCUCAAAUGAUUCUCCUGCCUCAGCCUCCUGAGUAGCUGGGAUUACAGGCGCCCAUGGACUACCAGCUUUUUAAGUAGACUUUUUAGCCAAAGGCCAAGGGAAACUACCCUCUUCCUACUGGGGUUCAAAUUGAUUAAAAUGGUUUGCUUUGA